This 235-nucleotide ribosomal RNA is filed under the name uncultured bacterium. Its description in RNAcentral is "partial 16S ribosomal RNA". It matches the Rfam family "Bacterial small subunit ribosomal RNA", at positions 15 to 248 of the family's 1533-position model. The record is from RNAcentral.
GAUCAUGGCUCAGAUUGAACGCUGGCGGCAGGCCUAACACAUGCAAGUCGAACGGUAACAGAAAGCAGCUUGCUGCUUUGCUGACGAGUGGCGGACGGGUGAGUAAUGUCUGGGAAACUGCCCGAUGGAGGUGGAUAACUACUGGAAACGGUAGCUAAUACCGCAUAACGUCGCAAGACCAAAGGAGGGGGACCUUCGGCCGUCUUGCCAUCGGAUGUGCCCAGAUGGGAGUUAG